RNAcentral lists this ribosomal RNA (830 nucleotides) under uncultured Actinomycetes bacterium. Its description in RNAcentral is "bacterial SSU rRNA". It matches the Rfam family "Bacterial small subunit ribosomal RNA", at positions 615 to 1447 of the family's 1533-position model. The record is from RNAcentral. Lineage: Bacteria; Bacillati; Actinomycetota; Actinomycetes.
CCUGACCUGCAUUCGAUACGGUCAAGCUAGAGUGUGGUAGGGGAGACUGGAAUUCCUGGUGUAGCGGUGGAAUGCGCAGAUAUCAGGAGGAACACCGAUGGCGAAGGCAGGUCUCUGGGCCAUUACUGACACUGAGGAGCGAAAGCGUGGGGAGCGAACAGGAUUAGAUACCCUGGUAGUCCACGCCGUAAACGGUGGGCGCUAGUUGUGCGAACCUUCCACGGUUUGUGCGACGCAGCUAACGCAUUAAGCGCCCCGCCUGGGGAGUACGAUCGCAAGAUUAAAACUCAAAGGAAUUGACGGGGCCCCGCACAAGCAGCGGAGCAUGCGGCUUAAUUCGACGCAACGCGAAGAACCUUACCAAGGCUUGACAUAUACAGGAAUACGGCAGAGAUGUCGUAGCCGCAAGGUCUGUAUACAGGUGGUGCAUGGUUGUCGUCAGCUCGUGUCGUGAGAUGUUGGGUUAAGUCCCGCAACGAGCGCAACCCUCGUUCUGUGUUGCCAGCAUUUAGUUGGGGACUCACAGGAGACUGCCGGGGUUAACUCGGAGGAAGGUGGGGAUGACGUCAAAUCAUCAUGCCCCUUAUGUCUUGGGCUGCACGCAUGCUACAAUGGCUGGUACAAACGGCUGCAAUACCGCAAGGUGGAGCGAAUCCGAGAAAGCCAGUCUCAGUUCGGAUUGGGGUCUGCAACUCGACCCCAUGAAGUCGGAGUUGCUAGUAACCGUAGAUCAGCAACGCUACGGUGAAUACGUUCCCGGGGCUUGUACACACCGCCCGUCACGUCACGAAAGUCGGUAACACCCAAAGUCAGUGGCCCAACCGUAAGGA